RNAcentral lists this ribosomal RNA (492 nucleotides) under uncultured bacterium. RNAcentral describes it as "partial 16S ribosomal RNA". It matches the Rfam family "Bacterial small subunit ribosomal RNA", at positions 29 to 507 of the family's 1533-position model. The record is from RNAcentral.
AGUGAACGCUGGCGGUAGGCCUAACACAUGCAAGUCGAACGGCAGCACAGUAAGAGCUUGCUCUUACGGGUGGCGAGUGGCGGACGGGUGAGGAAUACAUCGGAAUCUACUUUUUCGUGGGGGCUAACGUAGGGAAACUUACGCUAAUACCGCAUACGACCUACGGGUGAAAGCAGGGGAUCUUCGGACCUUGCGCGAUUGAAUGAGCCGAUGUCGGAUUAGCUAGUUGGCGGGGUAAAGGCCCACCAAGGCGCCGAUCCGUAGCUGGUCUGAGAGGAUGAUCAGCCACACUGGAACUGAGAAACGGUCCAGACUCCGACGGGAGGCAGCAGUGGGGAAUAUUGGACAAUGGGGGCAAGCCUGAUCCAGCCAUACCGCGUGGGUGAAGAAGGACUUCGGGUUGUAAAGCCCUGUUGUUGGGAAAGAAAAGCAGCAGGUUAAUACCCCGCUGUUCUGACGGUACCCAAAGAAUAAGCACCGGCUAACUUCGUG